UACGUAGGGCGCAAGCGUUGUCCGGAAUUAUUGGGCGUAAAGAGCUCGUAGGCGGUCUGUCGCGUCUGCCGUGAAAACCCGAGGCUUAACCUCGGGCUGGCGGUGGAUACGGGCAGACUAGAGGUAGGUAGGGGAGAAUGGAAUUCCCGGUGUAGCGGUGAAAUGCGCAGAUAUCAGGAGGAACACCGAUGGCGAAGGCAGGUCUCUGGGCCACUACUGACGCUGAGAAGCGAAAGCGUGGGGAGCGAACAGG
This 253-nucleotide ribosomal RNA is filed under the name uncultured bacterium. RNAcentral describes it as "partial 16S ribosomal RNA". It matches the Rfam family "Bacterial small subunit ribosomal RNA", at positions 524 to 776 of the family's 1533-position model. The record is from RNAcentral.